UUGCUGAAGUGCAUUUUCUCUGUCUAAUAACAGAUGAAGGUGAUAGGAGGUUCUGAGGAGGGCCUGUUUCUUCUGUGGUGGAGGCUGUGAAGGGUGAUGACUGUGGCGGUGUUUCUUCUCGGCGCUCCUCUCAGUUCAACUCCCUUGUGACCGGCAGCACGGCACUCCCAGUGCUGUCACUAGUAAGUCAUGAGAUGUCUCCAGCUUUGCUGUGCCUGCUGCAGGUGGCUGAUGAGCUGAGCUGAGAUCAGCUCAAGCUUUCUUGAAGGCCUGUGUGGACAGGAGGAGCCGCUGCUGGCCUUCAGGACUGGAAAGUAUGCGCUCUGUGGCCACAGUCCCACCUCUCAGCCUGGGAACGGAAGCAGGGAGUCGCAAGGGAAAACAAGCAGACAAUCAGUGCCCUGGGCUUUGCAAUGGAUAGCUUUCCCCCACCCUCCUGCUCCAAGCGGCCACCCCCACCCCCAGCGCUGAAACCCGGCCAGCCCCAGCUGCCUGUCCAGAUGUGGGAGAGAAGGAGAGGCAAGGUCCAACAGGGGAUGGAGGGCCUGAAACAGAAAGGGGCUCCAGAGAGAAUGGAGUAAAAAAGAGAAUCAAGACUUUGAGAGAGAGUAAGAUGGAAAGAUGUCAAUGGGGAUGUCUGAAUUCCCAGGGUCUUUAAGCGAAAGGUGGACAAGGAAUAGAAAGGUGUCAUUGGCUUCCAAUUCAUUUCUGGACAGUUCCAAAUAAGAGGAUCCAUGACACCAAAUUGUGCUUUCUCCGAAUAGCCAAUGCAAUCAAGUCUGAUCUCAUGAUCUCAGUGGACUGGAACAUGUCCUAUCCCAGAGAAUGCAGACUUGGCAUAGUUGUAUCCAUACAGUUGUUCCUGCUUGCCUGUGCAGGUCCUUCCAGGCCGGUCCUGAUUUAUGAACAACCCCUGAGCUCUCACUCCAUCCUGGAGGGGCUCUCUGAUUAGAGAUGGAGAAGAGAGGGUGAGUGCACACACUCAUGCAUCCACUCGCGCACACCAGCAUUUGGUUCUAAUUACACACGGGGCGACUCCAGGGCCGGGUGUCAUCUAGAACACGGAGCUAGAUUUACACUUGACAUGUUUUAUUCACACAGGUUGGUCCUGGCCUGGUAAUUGCAACAUAUUAUCUGGACUGAUUCAUCAAAGGGAGCAGCCUGCUACAGUAAACUCUUAAACGAACGACUCAUAUGGGUCGCAGACGUGAAAAGUGGAGGGUUUUAUUAGCAAAAAAAAAAAAAAAGAGUGAACCAACAAGUACAGUCCAAAUGCUUUGGUAAAAGAGGUGUUUGUGAAAUGUUUAUGCCUUUUUUAGGAAGACUUGGAAGUAGCCUCUGUUCUUGCAGAAAAAGUUUACGAUUUGAUCAGCCAUAGUUUGGUGGCACUAUAUUAAGUCAUGUUUUAGUUGUCUAAAAGCCAAAAUUUGGCACAUCAGAUGAGGGUAUCCCCUCUGUUAUGCUUGUUAGCCAAAGGCUACCCCUUGCUGCUUUAACAGGAGUGUUAAUAUGUGAAGUCAGUAAACGCGCCAGUGGAUUUAGAGACUUAAACAUGCUGCCCUGCACUUGAUGCAUUGAAGGCCUAAUGCACAGAAAUGUAAAACUGGGAAGAGAUACAGUAAGCGCGUUCACAUUAGGGUUGUGCACCAUUCAGAACUGAAUUUUUUUUUUUUUUUUUUUUUUUUUUUUUUUUUAAUGUUAAAAGUAUA
Long non-coding RNA from Megalobrama amblycephala (Wuchang bream), 1709 nucleotides. RefSeq lists it as uncharacterized. The record is from RefSeq and is a predicted model, not a curated record. The transcript is spliced from 3 exons. Lineage: Eukaryota; Metazoa; Chordata; Actinopteri; Cypriniformes; Xenocyprididae.